Molecule: long non-coding RNA, 2231 nt
Organism: Oncorhynchus tshawytscha (Chinook salmon)
Lineage: Eukaryota; Metazoa; Chordata; Actinopteri; Salmoniformes; Salmonidae
Source: Ensembl
UACAGUAUAUGGCUACCUUUAUUUACAUGUAUCAAGUGUAUGUUGGUUGGUGACUGUUCUUUGAAAAGUUUAAGGCAAAGACUACAGAUAGAUAUGGUGUGUAUAAAAGUUGUGCCGUUGUCACCAAUAAAGACGACCCUGACUAACACUGGCACGCUCUGCUGGUCACAUCGAAAGUACACCGUAAAAAUUAAACAAAUGUCCUUCUCUCUCUACAUUUGACAUUAACCAUGAACACACAAAAGAGACCAUCUGUAACCAGAUGGCUGUAGGGUUCAAAUCAAAUGUCAUGUCACAUGCUUUUGUAAACAAUACGUGUAGACCGACAGUGAAAUGCUUACUUAAAUCUACCCCUGUUAGUUAUGAAGCAUGUGACAUUAUGUUCAAGUUAAACUUUUGUAUAAAUACUAAAUAUUUCAGUGUAAUUAUACAGUAGGCUGAUUGAUGGUGACAAGUGACAAUUAGCGUUUUCAAAGUUCUAUAUCUUGAAAACUGGAUUGCUGCACUGCAAAACAUUUUUUGGGGGGCUGUAUCAACAGUGGACGAAUGAAACAAAUAUACACAAAAAUAUCAUUUUGGGAGUGGAAUUGACCUUCAAGUCAAAGUUGCUGAAUUAAAAAGGUGAUCAUCCCUGUAAAAUGUCUAUUCCCGACGCGCUUCAUAUCGUCAGCUCACUCUCAAUAUCACGUUAGAGGAUGAGGCAUCUCUAUCAUGUACAGUAUGCGUUCUCUAUGCCCAUUGGACAGACUGAAAAGCGGACCUGAGACCUCCCUCAGUGUUCCGACGCAGCAUUAAGAACAGACAGAAUAUACAUCUAGAUGCUGAUCCACACAUUAUACCGGUCUGUCAGCUGGACAAUGGCUUCACCAUGAGCAGGUCUGAUCACCUUUCAGUUUAGAGACAAGGGCAGCAGGUCUGAUCACCUUUCAGUUUAGAGACAAGGGCAGCAGGUCUGAUCACCUUUCAGUUUAGAGACAAGGGCAGCAGGUCAGAUCACCUUUCAGUUUAGAGACAAGGGCAGCAGGUCAGACCACCUUUCAGUUUAGAGACAAGGGCAGCAGGUCAGACCACCUUUCAGUUUAGAGACAAGGGCAGCAGGUCAGACCACCUUUCAGUUUAGAGACAAGGGCAGCAGGUCAGACCACCUUUCAGUUUAGAGACAAGGGCAGCAGGUCUGAUCACCUUUCAGUUUAGAGACCAGGGCAGCAGGUCAGAUCACCUUUCAGUUUAGAGACAAGGGCAGCAGGUCUGAUCACCUUUCAGUUUAGAGACCAGGGCAGCAGGUCUGAUCACCUUUCAGUUUAGAGACCAGGGCAGCAGGUCUGAUCAUAUAAAUAGAACACGGUCGACUUGAAAUGUCUGUUCUAGAUAUUUUAUUUGAAUUAGUGUGAUUCUGUUUUACUGUACCGCUCUGCCUUACCAGCAGUCUUCUACCUAUAGCGGACAUUCUGCUGGUUAAAUGAACAGCUGAACGAAAACAGAUAAACACUUGAGAUACAGAGAGAGAGAGAGAGACAGAGAGAGAGAGAGACAGAGAGAGAGAGAGAGACAGAGAGAGAGAGAGAGAGAGAGAGAGAAAAGAUACAGGUUUCACCUUAGUGCACAGGAGCAGUAACAAUGUCACCAACCAACACCAUAAAAAUGGAAUAUCUUUAAACUAACAAACUCUUUGUCCUUGAGACUUCAGUAUAUUCAAAAUGAAACUACCAAAAGAUCUGAACAACAAAAAAUCAUUCAAAUGACUACAUACUAAUACAGUAUAGUGUUUUAAAUUACUCUGUACAUCUUGGAACGGUCCCCAAAAAAGCUACUUAUUUCCUAUACAGUGCACUACAUUCAUCAGGGCCCAUACGACUCUACUUUUGCUCAAAGGUAGUGCACUAUAUAGGGAAUAGGUUGUUAUUUGGGACGUAAGCACUAAGUCACGUGACUGGGCGGAAGGGAGAUACUGUACAAGAAAAACAUUACUUCAAAUGAAUACACACUUUUUUUUUUUUUUUUUUUUUUUUUUUUAACACAGAACCCCCUACACACACACACGAGUAGAGUACAGUGUUUGGAGGACGACAACAAUCUCCCAGUUCACAAUCAGACCCUUUCUCAUUUUCAUAUAGAGAACAAAUGAGACCACCAUGUGUGGGAGGUUAUGUGGGGGCAGGGCAUAUCAGGGAAGCACCUCCCACCCCCGCAUCCCUGAUAAGCCCGCCCCCGCAUCCCUGAUAAGCCCGCCC